This 994-nucleotide long non-coding RNA is filed under the name Trifolium pratense (red clover). RNAcentral describes it as "long non-coding RNA (TPRA_LNC001415)". The record is from RNAcentral. Lineage: Eukaryota; Viridiplantae; Streptophyta; Magnoliopsida; Fabales; Fabaceae.
CUCAAACAAACGGGCCCUGUAUUGGAUAUAUUUGGUGUAAUUUAUCAUUUAUGGGAUUGGUUCAAAUGAGAGAGGAAAUAAAUUUUAAUGAAGGGAAAUGAAGAGGGAGUUCAGAUAUGCUCCAUUAGUUUAUCCUCCAUUAGCUUCCAUUAUCUUGUUCAGAUCGUGACACAUGGAUAAAAUUUAUCAAUGGUCCAGAUUUAAAAUGUUCUCUCUUCUUGACACUGUGUAAACUUCUCUCUUCCUUGCAAUACAUCGUUCUUCAUCUUCUUCCUUGUUGCUACAACACUGCUCGGCAUCUCCUCACAACUGGCCGCCGUCAAAUCUCUCUCUAUCCCAACGUUGUCGCCCCACUGGUUUAGAUUAGAUUGAAAAAUCAUAUUCUUGUUAUUCCUUUCACAACAACCUCAUCUUACUUCUCUCUCUCAAUUUUCGUCUUCUCCGUCAAAACAAAACACCUCUCAAUCUCUACGUCGCAUCUCCAUCUCUCUAUCAUUGUGUCUCUCACUAACGGUCGCCGAUAAGACGUCUUCUUCCUCGCCGCUGCCGCCGCGUUGUCUCACCGCCACUUCCCCCUUUUCAAUUGCAUAAAAAUAAACAAUGAAAUUGAAACUAGAAAAACCAUUACAGCAUAAAAUUCAUAGUAUAAUAACAACAAUAAUACCAUGAAAAGCAAUAAUAUUAUAAUAACAACAAUAAUACCUAUUCCCAACUAAUUAAUGUAUCAAAAAAUAACAUGAACAAGAACAAAAAGUUAUAGUUUUAAAAACCAAUAAUACCUUGGCCAAAAAUAGUAGUAGCGGUGAUGCUGGGUCGUCGGAGGAACGGAGAUAUUUUAAAACUGAAAACGGUGAAAAUGACAGCGACGACGGUUGAACGGAUAGAGAAGGGUGACAACUGACAAUGAGAUGGGACGGCGACAUCGUUGGGACGGAGAGAGAUUUGUGUGAGGAGAUGACGGUGUUGCAGCAACAAGGAAGAAGAUGAAGAGCAA